Molecule: ribosomal RNA, 301 nt
Filed under: uncultured bacterium
Lineage: Bacteria
Description: partial 16S ribosomal RNA
Rfam family: Bacterial small subunit ribosomal RNA
Source: RNAcentral
CAGUAGCCGCGGGAAUACAGAGGGUGCGAGCGUUAAUCGGAUUUACUGGGCGUAAAGCGUGCGUAUGCGGCUUUUUAAGUCGGAUGUGAAAUCCCUGAGCUUAACUUAGGAAUUGCAUUCGAUACUGGGAAGCUAGAGUAUGGGAGAGGAUGGUAGAAUUCCAGGUGUAGCGGUGAAAUGCGUAGAGAUCUGGAGGAAUACCGAUGGCGAAGGCAGCCAUCUGGCCUAAUACUGACGCUGAGGUACGAAAGCAUGGGGAGCAAACAGGAUUAGAUACCCCAGUAGUCCCUGUCUCUUAUAA